Molecule: non-coding RNA, 30 nt
Filed under: Rattus norvegicus (Norway rat)
Lineage: Eukaryota; Metazoa; Chordata; Mammalia; Rodentia; Muridae
Source: RNAcentral
UGUGUGCACACGUGCAUUUCUUCAUGUGUU